Molecule: ribosomal RNA, 383 nt
Filed under: uncultured bacterium
Lineage: Bacteria
Description: bacterial SSU rRNA
Rfam family: Bacterial small subunit ribosomal RNA
Source: RNAcentral
AUUGAACGCUGGCGGCAUGCCUAACACAUGCAAGUCGAACGGUAACAGGCCCUUCGGGUGCUGACGAGUGGCGGAUGGGUGAGUAAUACUUACGGAAUCUACCCUGUAGUGGGGGACAACCCGGGGAAACUCGGGCUAAUACCGCAUACACUCUACGGAGGAAAGCGGGGGACCGCAAGGCCUCGCGCUAUUGGAUGAGCCUAAGCCCGAUUAGCUAGUUGGUGGGGUAAUAGCCACCAAGGCAGUGAUCGGUAGCUGGUCUGAGAGGACGACCAGCCACACUGGGACUGAGACACGGCCCAGACUCCUACGGGAGGCAGCAGUGGGGAAUAUUGGACAAUGGGCGAAAGCCUGAUCCAGCGAUGCCGCGUGUGUGAAGAAGG